RNAcentral lists this long non-coding RNA (4795 nucleotides) under Gossypium barbadense (sea-island cotton). RNAcentral describes it as "long non-coding RNA (GBAR_LNC022917)". The record is from RNAcentral. Lineage: Eukaryota; Viridiplantae; Streptophyta; Magnoliopsida; Malvales; Malvaceae.
GCCAAUACAUAAACAAGUUUACAAUCUUGACAAAACAGUAGGUUGACCUAAACUUCACCUACUACCACUAAUACACAUAGUAACUUGUGCUAAUUAGCUUGAACAAAUAAACAAAGCUGAUUUAUCAGCUCAAUCAACAUCAAAAUUACAUCAAGCAUAAACCUAACAUAGUUAUAAAGCAACUAAGUUACAUUACUUUAACUUAAAAUUACAAAAUGAAACAUAAACAGCUUGCUGACUAGAUGAACCAGCAACUUCUGCAUGUUGAGCCUUCGAUGGUCUUGGUUGCUGCAUGCUGACCAUUACUUCAAUACUCCUCCUUGGUUAGCAUGUUGCGAACUCCCAUAUUAGCUCUCAGAUGUUGAAACUUGGAAACACUUAGUGCUUUUGUUAAAAUAUCAGCAAUUUGCUCUUCAGAACUGCAAUGUAUCAGCUUAACAACAUGAGCUUGUUCCAUUUCUCGAACUGCAUGAAGUUUGAUGUUGAAGUGCUUGGUCCUUCCAUGAAAAACAGGAUUCUUAGCAAUAGCAACUGCUGAUUGGUUGUCACACAUUAUCUCAGUUGCUUCCUUUUGCUCAUGAUUUAUAUCUUUCAAAAUUUUUCUAAGCCAUAUGGCUUGAUUGACUGCUGCAGCAGCAGCUACAUAUUCUGCUUCUGCAGUCGACUGAGCCACUACUUCCUGCUUCUUUGAGCUCCAGCAAAUCAUAGCAGAGCCUAUGUUGAAAGCAUAACCUGUAGUGCUCUUCAUGUCAUCCAAGGAACCAGCCCAAUCACUGUCACAAUAUCCAACUAGCUUCAAGUUCUCAGCCUUGGUAAACUGCAUUCCAUAGGACAAAGUUCCUUUGAUGUAUCUUAGAACCCUUUUUGCAGCUCUAAAAUGACUUUCAUUUGAACAAUGCAUAAACCUCGAGAGUAGACUCACAGCAUACAUUAUGUCAGGUCUAGUAGCAGUCAAAUACAACAAACAUCCAACUAGACUUCGAUAUGUUGUUUCACAAACCUUUUCAUGCUUGUCUUGGCUCGAGAGUUUUUCUCCAACAGCAACUGGUGUGCUGGUUGCUUUGCAAUUCUCCAUUGAGAAUUUAUUGAGAACCUUCAUAGCAAAGGUCUUUUGACUUAGCCAAAUCCCAUUCUUAGCUUGAGUUACUUCCAUGCCUAAGAAGUAAGACAUCAAUCCCAAGUCUGACAUUUCAAAGUGCUGUUGCAUUUUGACUUUAAAACUGCUUAGCAUCUCAUGAUCUCCUCCUGUCACCAGUAGGUCAUCGACAUAUAUUGAGACAAUGAGCUGAGUUUCAGCACUAGUUGAUUUAACAUACAGAGUUGGCUCGCUAAGACUUCUUUCAAACCCUUGACUGGUCAGAUAGCCAUCUAUUCUGCUAUACCAGGCCUUUGGAGCCUGUUUCAAGCCAUACAAGGCUUUGUUGAGCUUGUACACCAUUUCUUCCUUGCCAGACACCUUGAAACCUUGAGGUUGCUCCACAUAAAUCUCCUCUUCAAGGAAUCCAUUCAGAAAUGCUGAUUUUACAUCAAGUUGGUGUAUCAGCCACUGUUUUUGUGCUGCUAAGGCAACUAGCAGUCUGAUAGUGUCUAGCCUGGCCACUGGUGCAAAGGUUUCCAGGUAAUCUGACCCAUACCUUUGACUGAAACCUUUCACAACCAAUCUAGCCUUUAACUUGUUUAGGCUACCAUCAGCAUUGUUCUUUACUCGAUAAACCCAUUUGACACCAAUAAUCUUCCUGUUUGUUGGUUUAUCAACCAGACUCCAGGUCUGAUUCUUUUCAAUCAUUCUGAUUUCUUCAAUCAUUGCUUGCUUCCAGUCCUCCUGGUUUUCUGCUUCUUCAAAGCAACUUGGUUCAACAGUAGCCACUUGUGCUCUUUCAUAAACAUCAGCCAGUGAUCGAGUGCCUCUGAUUGGAACAUCAUCUACAUCCAUUUCAGGUGUGUUUUCAUCAUUUUCAACUUGGUCCACUGCCAGAUCUUCAGCCACUACCUCUGGUUCAGCCUUCUCCCAAUUCCAGUGUCCUUUUUCAUUGAAAACAACAUCCCUGCUAACCAAUGUCUUGUUUGUAGCAGGUUCUAGAAUUCUGUAGCCCUUCUUAACCAAGCUGUAGCCGAUCAAGAUCCCUGCUUGAGCUCUUUUAUCUAGCUUGCUUCUCUUCUCAGCUGGAACUUGAGUAUAGCACAGACAACCAAAGGUUCUGAGAUGAGCCAGUGAUGGCUUAAACCCAAACCAGGCUUCAAAUGGAGUCUUUUCAGCCAGAGCCUUGGUUGGGAGCCUGUUUUGGAGAUAGACUGCUGUGUUAACAGCUUCAGCCCACAGAGUUUUGGGCAAAUUCUUCUCAAACAGAAGACAUCUUGCCAUGUUCAUCAAGCUUCUGUUUUUCCUUUCACUGACCCCAUUCUGUUGGGGUGUAUACACAUUAGUCAACUGGUGUUUGAUACCUGCUUCUUCACAGUAGGCUUGGAACUGAGCUGAGGUGUACUCAGUUCCAUUAUCUGACCUCAUUGCUCUAAGUUUGCAACCAGACUCAGUUUCAACAGCAGCUUUAUACUUCAGGAACACAGAUGGAACUUCUGAUUUCUGUUUUAGAAAAUAAAUCCAGCAGUAUCUUGUUAAGUCAUCAAUAAAUAGAAUAAAGUACCUGCUUCCUUUGAGAGACUCAGUCUUCAUUGGUCCACACACAUCUGUAUGCACAAGCUGGAGCUUCUCUGAUGCCCUCCAUGUUGUGCUUGUUGGAAAUGGCAAUCUUGCCAAUUUUCCUUGCUGACAUAUCUCACAAAGCUCAUCAUUCUUCACUGAAUCGAUGAAAUUUUCUGCCAGACCUUCAUUGACCAUGCGGGCUAUGGAUUUGUAGUUUGCAUGUCCAAGCCUCUGGUGCCAGAGUCUCGAGUCAUCAGUGGAGGCUAUGCAGGCUGAAUGUGAGUCAUUUGGCCAGUCUACUUCAAAACAUUUAUCAGUCAUGGUGACUGUUAUAAGGUUUGAUCCACUUGGAUCAAAAAUUUGACAUUCUUUCUCCUUGAAAACAACUGAGUAACCUUUCUCAAGUAGUUGAGUUAUACUGAGAAGGUUCCUAUUGAUUUCAGGUACCAAAAGUACAUUUGAAAUGAUUUUGCCACCUGUAGAAGUAUGAAUCAGCACAUCUCCUCUUCCUUCAGCAUUGAUUAACUGACCAUUUCCAAUUUUUACUUUGGUUUUGCAGGUUCUGUCCAGGGUUUUGAAGAUAGUUGCAUCUGGUGACAUGUGGUUUGUGCACCCACUGUCUAGAAGCCAGCCCUUUGAACCCUUUUUCUGAUUUGCUGCACAUGACACAGCAAAAACAUGUUCUUCUUGAUCACUGCUUUCUUCAGCUACUCGAGCUUCUACUUUUUGUUGCUGAAAUUGAUUCUGUCUUGGUUUGCUUCUAUUCUUGCAAACUUUUUCAACAUGGCCCUUUUUCUUGCAGUGUUGGCAUACUGCAUCUGGUCUAAACCAGCAUCUAUCUUCUGGAUGACCAGCUCUUUUACAAUGUCUGCAGAGUUGGUCACUGCUCCUAGCAGCAUCAGGCUUAGGCCUGUUUUUCCAGAACUUUUUGCCUUUAUGAGUUUUGAUGCUCGAGGCUUCUUUGGCUUGAAAAGCCCCUUCCUGGUGCUCCUCUUGUCUGCUGGCUCUUCUUUGCUCUUGUGCAUACAAGGCAUUGAUUAGCUCAGUUAAGGAGAUAGUUGUCAAGUCCCUUGAGUCUUCGAGGGAUGAAAUUUUAGCUUCAUACCUCUCUGGUAGAGUGGACAUGACUUUCUCAACCAUUCUAGCUUCACUGAAUUGCUCUCCUAGGAGCCUUAUGCUGUUUACAACAGCCAUAAUCCGGUCUGAGUACUGCUUAACUGUUUCUUCCUCUUUCAUUUUGAGAUUUUCGAAAUCUCUUCUCAAGUUGAGCAGCUGUUGUUGCCUUGUUUUCUCAGUCCCCUGAAAUUCUUCUUUCAGCUUGUCCCAAGCCUCCUUUGGUGUUUCACAGGCCAUGAUCCUCAUAAAGAUCACAUCUAUCACACAAUUCUGUAUGCAUGACAUGGCCUUGUGCCUUUUUGUUCUUUCAUCAGUGUGUUGCCUUAUUUGAGCAACUGUUGGAUUAGCUCGAAGAGGUGCUGGCUCAGCAUCUGAGUUGACAACUUCCCAUAGGUCGAAUGCCUGCAGGUAAGUCCUCAUCUUAACUGCCCAAAUGUUGAAACCCUCUCCAUUGAAGACAGGUGGUGAAGCUGGUGAAAAACCUGAUGAUGCCAUCGUUUUGAUGUUGAGCUACAACAGGUCCUCUAAGAAUACGGCUCUAGAUACCAAUUGUUGGAGCAAGAGGCAGCAGCAGCAAGCUUCAGCAAGAUGCUUGUCUAGCAAGUCUCGUGACUUGUAGGAGAAACAAAGCAGAAAACUCAAAUGGAUUUUUAAGUAAAACUAAAAGUGGAGAGCAUAUGGAUGAAAACUUGUUGAAUUCAUUCCUUAAACUUCAAAAUGGCACACAGCCAAUACAUAAACAAGUUUACAAUCUUGACAAAACAGUAGGUUGACCUAAACUUCACCUACUACCACUAAUACACAUAGUAACUUGUGCUAAUUAGCUUGAACAAAUAAACAAAGCUGAUUUAUCAGCUCAAUCAACAUCAAAAUUACAUCAAGCAUAAACCUAACAUAGUUAUAAAGCAACUAAGUUACAUUACUUUAACUUAAAAUUACAAAAUGAAACAUAAACAGCUUGCUGACUAGAUGAACCAGCAACUUCUGCAUGUUGAGCCUUCGAUGGUCUUGGUUGCUGCAUGCUGACCAUUACUUCAA